GACGAACGCUGGCGGCGUGCUUAACACAUGCAAGUCGAACGGAAAGGCCUUCUUUCCCUUGUGUAUUGCGGGUACUCGAGUGGCUAACGGGUGAGUAACACGUGAGUGAUCUUCCCCCAACUUUGCUAUAAGCUUGGGAAACUGCCUCUAAUUCCCUAUCGCACUGCAGUGUGGUUCCUGUGGUUGAAAACGAUUGUCUAGUAGUUGGGGAUGAGCUCCCGGCCUAUCAGGUGGUUGGUGGGGUAAUGGCCUACCAAUUCGGCGACGGGUAGCCUGCCUGGGAGAGUGGGCGGGCAAAGUUGAACUGCGAUACGGCCAAGGCGACUACGGGAGGCAGCAGUGGGGAAGCAUGCACGAGGGGCGGAAGCCUAAGGCAGCGACGCCGCGUGAGGAAUGACGGCUGUCGGGUUGUGGACUUCGGGCGACAGCGAGGAAGCCCCCUGGUUGGAAGGGUGGUGACGGUAGUGGUAGAAGAAGCACCGGCUAACUACGUG
This 494-nucleotide ribosomal RNA is filed under the name uncultured bacterium. RNAcentral's name for it is "partial 16S ribosomal RNA". It matches the Rfam family "Bacterial small subunit ribosomal RNA", at positions 28 to 507 of the family's 1533-position model. The record is from RNAcentral.